CUGGCGGCGUGCCUAACACAUGCAAGUCGAACGAGGAAGGUGCUUCGGCACCCGAGUAAGUGGCGCACGGGUGAGUAACGCGUAGGCAACCUACCCUGUAUUGGGAUAACAGAGCGAAGCGCUGCUAAUACCGGAUACGAUCCAUAGGCGGGAGUUUAUGGAUGAAAGUCAGCCUCUCGGAGAAGCUGGUGUACGGGGAUGGGCCUGCGUCCUAUCAGCUAGUUGGUGAGGUAACGGCUCACCAAGGCGACGACGGGUAGCUGGUCUGAGAGGAUGAUCAGCCACACUGGCACUGGAACACGGGCCAGACUCCUACGGGAGGCAGCAGUGAGGAAUUUUGCGCAAUGGCCGCAAGGCUGACGCAGCAACGCCGCGUGGGUGAAGAAGGCCUUCGGGUCAUAAAGCCCUGUCAGGUGGGAAGAAGUGCUUGGGGUAAAUAGCCCUUGAGUUUGACGGUACCACCAGAGGAAGCACCGGCUAACUCCGUGCCAGCCGCCGC
Molecule: ribosomal RNA, 499 nt
Filed under: uncultured bacterium
Lineage: Bacteria
Description: bacterial SSU rRNA
Rfam family: Bacterial small subunit ribosomal RNA
Source: RNAcentral